UCGGGGCCCCCCUGGGCGCUUCGCGCUGGGGCCCCGCCCCAAAACCCAGAAGGAAUGGUGCGGACCUAAUGAAACAGCGCGAACUAGCGUAGCGUUGUGGGGGUGAGAAUGUUGGUGGGAGGAGUCCGCGUGUGUUAAAGCACGUAUGCUUGUAAGGAGGGGGCGGAAAAUUGAGUUCGAGUACGGCGCUGCUGCUAUUUGCUUGCAAUGGUGAUAAGUCUGCCACCUUCCCUAAUAGUACUAACUGGGCUGGGUAAUCGGCCUUUUCUUUACAUUUCGUAGUUAGCCAGAAAGUUCAAUGUGAAAUGCGGGGUUGUUAGGUGGUGUGAAGUUUGGUCGGAUUUAUCGUUCAAUGGACCCACCAUCACUUUGCAUCCCGCUAACAGCUCAAGGGUUUCUAUUCAUUUGCGACAUGACUGUAUGUAGCGACCAAGGUUCUUCACCCCGAUUCGGGCCCGAACGUUUUUGAGAUUUUUCCGUUUUGCCCUAAAGGAAAGUUGGUGCGCCCCGGAGCAUCCCGAACGGAUUUGGGGCCUUUUGGAGACUUUUUCGGGGGCACCACACGAAGCAUUUUGAAUGCAUUUUCGGAGCAUUUUACUGAGUUAGACACGACUGGCCGCGUACUAGCGACCUUCCGUUGGUCGAGGUCUACUGAGUUAGACACGACUGGCCGCGUACUAGCGACCUUCCGUUGGUCGAGGUCUACUGAGUUAGACACGACUGGCCGCGUACUAGCGACCUUCCGUUGGUCGAGGUCUACUGAGUUAGACACGACUGGCCGCGUACUAGCACACUUCUAUCCGAACGGCCUGAUUACCGUUACACUUACGGCAAAUCCAAUAAGUGUGCUGAGAACGAUCAUACGUUUGCUGCGCGUUUGUCUGCUACAUGAAGACUGACACGCGAAGGUUAGGAUCUUACGACCAUCAAGGUUAUCAUGCCGCGUAUUACGGUU
Molecule: long non-coding RNA, 955 nt
Filed under: Volvox carteri
Lineage: Eukaryota; Viridiplantae; Chlorophyta; Chlorophyceae; Chlamydomonadales; Volvocaceae
Description: long non-coding RNA (VCAR_LNC000369)
Source: RNAcentral